Molecule: unclassified non-coding RNA, 233 nt
Filed under: plant metagenome
Description: partial contains small subunit ribosomal RNA, internal transcribed spacer 1, and 5.8S ribosomal RNA
Source: RNAcentral
UCUCCGUAGGUGAACCUGCGGAGGGAUCAUUACAGAGUUCAUGCCCUCACGGGUAGAUUUCCCACCCUUGUGUAUUCAUACCUUUGUUGCUUCGGCAGGCCGCUGGGCUUCGGCCUGGCCACCGGCUCCCGGGCUGGUGCGCGCCUGCCAGGGGACCUCUAAACUCUGUUUGUCAGUGUCGUCUGAGUAUUAUACAAUCGUUAAAACUUUCAACAACGGAUCUCUUGGUUCUG